Molecule: ribosomal RNA, 1395 nt
Filed under: uncultured bacterium
Lineage: Bacteria
Description: 16S ribosomal RNA
Rfam family: Bacterial small subunit ribosomal RNA
Source: RNAcentral
UUAGAGUUUCCUUCUGGCUCAGGAUGAACGCUAGCGGCAGGCUUAACACAUGCAAGUCGAGGGGCAGCGGGUGUAGCAAUACAUGCCGGCGACCGGCGCAAGGGUGCGUAACGCGUGAGCAAUCUGCCCGUAUCAGGGGGAUAAGCGAUGGAAACGUCGUCUAAUACCGCAUAACACCAAUGAUGGCAUCAUCGAUGGUUGAAAGCUUCGGUGGAUACGGAUGAGCUCGCGAGACAUUAGUUAGUUGGCGGGGUAACGGCCCACCAAGACCGCGAUGUCUAGGGGAACUGAGAGGUUGGUCCCCCACACUGGAACUGAGACACGGUCCAGACUCCUACGGGAGGCAGCAGUGAGGAAUAUUGGACAAUGGCCGGAAGGCUGAUCCAGCCAUGCCGCGUGAAGGAAUAAGGUCCUAUGGAUUGUAAACUUCUUUUGUACGAGAGCAAUAAGUGUCACGAGUGACACGAUGAGAGUAUCGUACGAAUAAGCAUCGGCUAACUCCGUGCCAGCAGCCGCGGUAAUACGGAGGAUGCGAGCGUUAUCCGGAUUUAUUGGGUUUAAAGGGUGCGUAGGCGGGAUUUUAAGUCAGCGGUGAAACGCAAGGGCUCAACCCUUGACCUGCCGUUGAAACUGGAGUUCUUGAGUGCGGAUGCUGUGGGAGGAAUGUGUGGUGUAGCGGUGAAAUGCAUAGAUAUCACACAGAACACCGAUUGCGAAGGCAUCUCACAAAUCCGUGAUUGACGCUGAGGCACGAAAGUGUGGGGAUCAAACAGGAUUAGAUACCCUGGUAGUCCACACUGUAAACGAUGAUAACUCGCUGUCGGCGAUACACAGUCGGUGGCCAAGCGAAAGCGAUAAGUUAUCCACCUGGGGAGUACGACCGCAAGGUUGAAACUCAAAGGAAUUGACGGGGGCCCGCACAAGCGGAGGAACAUGUGGUUUAAUUCGAUGAUACGCGAGGAACCUUACCCGGGCUUGAAUUGCAGGUUUUGGAUCAGAGAUGGUCUUUUCCCUUCGGGGUGCCUGUGAAGGUGCUGCAUGGUUGUCGUCAGCCCGUGCCGUGAGGUGUCGGCUUAAGUGCCAUAACGAGCGCAACCCCUUUCGUCAGUUGCCAUCAGGUGAUGCUGGGCACUCUGGCGACACUGCCACCGCAAGGUGUGAGAAAGGUGGGGAUGACGUCAAAUCAGCACGGCCCUUACGUCCGGGGCUACACACGUGUUACAAUGGGUGGUACAGAGAGUCGGUGCAUCGCAAGUUGCAUCUAAUCAUGAAAGCCAUCCUCAGUUCGGAUUGGGGUCUGCAACCCGACCCCAUGAAGCUGGAUUCGCUAGUAAUCGCGCAUCAGCCAUGGCGCGGUGAAUACGUUCACCGGGCCCUUGUACUCACCGCCCGUCA